AGAACUUAGCAGAGAUUGCUUUGGUGCCUUCGGGAACUCUGAGACAGGUGCUGCAUGGCUGUCGUCAGCUCGUGUUGUGAAAUGUUGGGUUAAGUCCCGCAACGAGCGCAACCCUUAUCCUUUGUUGCCAGCGGCUCGGCCGGGAACUCAAAGGAGACUGCCGGUGAUAAACCGGAGGAAGGUGGGGAUGACGUCAAGUCAUCAUGGCCCUUACGGCCAGGGCUACACACGUGCUACAAUGGCGCAUACAAAGAGAAGCGACCUCGCGAGAGCAAGCGGACCUCAUAAAGUGCGUCGUAGUCCGGAUUGGAGUCUGCAACUCGACUCCAUGAAGUCGGAAUCGCUAGUAAUCGUAGAUCAGAAUGCUACGGUGAAUACGUUCCCGGGCCUUGUACACACCGCCCGUCACACCAUGGGAGUGGGUUGCAAAAGAAGUAGGUAGCUUAACCUUCGGGAGGGCGCUUACCACUUUGUGAUUCAUGACUGGGGUGAAGUCGUAACAAGGUAAGCGUAGCGAG
This 518-nucleotide ribosomal RNA is filed under the name uncultured bacterium. RNAcentral describes it as "bacterial SSU rRNA". It matches the Rfam family "Bacterial small subunit ribosomal RNA", at positions 992 to 1509 of the family's 1533-position model. The record is from RNAcentral.